This 459-nucleotide ribosomal RNA is filed under the name uncultured bacterium. RNAcentral describes it as "partial 16S ribosomal RNA". It matches the Rfam family "Bacterial small subunit ribosomal RNA", at positions 338 to 795 of the family's 1533-position model. The record is from RNAcentral.
CCUACGGGAGGCAGCAGUGAGGAAUAUUGGUCAAUGGUCGGGAGACUGAACCAGCCAAGCCGCGUGAGGGAUGAAGGUACAGAGUAUCGUAAACCUCUUUUGUCAGGGAACAAAGGCGGGGACGUGUCCCCGGAUGAGUGUACCUGAAGAAAAAGCAUCGGCUAACUCCGUGCCAGCAGCCGCGGUAAUACGGAGGAUGCGAGCGUUAUCCGGAUUUAUUGGGUUUAAAGGGUGCGCAGGCGGUCUGUUAAGUCAGCGGUAAAAGCCCGGGGCUCAACCCCGGCCCGCCGUUGAAACUGGCAGUCUCGAGUUGGAGAGAAGUAUGCAGAAUGCGCGGUGUAGCGGUGAAAUGCAUAGAUAUCGCGCAGAACUCCGAUUGCGAAGGCAGCAUGCCGGCUCCACACUGACGCUGAGGCACGAAAGCGUGGGUAUCGAACAGGAUUAGAUACCCUAGUAGUC